UCCGAGUUGACCCCGGCAGUCUCCUAUGAGUCCCCACCAUCACGUGCUGGCAACAUAGAACGAGGGUUGCGCUCGUUGCGGGACUUAACCCAACAUCUCACGACACGAGCUGACGACAACCAUGCACCACCUGUACACCGCCCUUGCGGGGAGCACAUCUCUGCACUUUUCCGGUGUAUGUCAAGCCUUGGUAAGGUUCUUCGCGUUGCAUCGAAUUAAACCACAUGCUCCACUGCUUGUGCGGACCCCCGUCAAUUCCUUUGAGUUUCACCCUUGCGGGCGUACUCCCCAGGUGGUUCACUUAACGCUUUCGCUUGGACGCGUACUGUAUAUCGCACACAUCGAGUGAACAUCGUUUACGGCGUGGACUAC
RNAcentral lists this unclassified non-coding RNA (372 nucleotides) under uncultured Actinomycetes bacterium. RNAcentral describes it as "uncultured actinobacterium contains 16S-23S intergenic spacer region". Lineage: Bacteria; Bacillati; Actinomycetota; Actinomycetes. The record is from RNAcentral.